GAAAUGCUCUUUUGAAAACACCUUCUCCUACUAAAAAAGUGUACUCUUGAAACAUUGUCUCAGAGAAUGCAGACACAAGAGAACUGAGCACUAAAAUACCAUGCUUUGUCUCCCUAUUAGUCAGAGAUCUGCUAAGUGGCACAUAAGUAGGAGGAUGCUUUUACUGUCAGCCCACUCUUUUCACAUCCCAGAUACAAGCCUCCUGCCAUGGCUGGAUGGCACUAUGCUUCCCUCCUGGCCCGUCAUCCCUUGUGACAGAGGCAACUGACUGCUCACUCCUCAGCUGGUGACAUCUGGUACAAAAAAGUGGCAAAGACAGUGAGCUGUUCUCCAUCCCAGGAACUACUCACUUCUCCACAGAAGAGCUAGACCAUGGAUCACCCAAGAGACUUAGUAGGAAAAGUUAAAGCUGCAGAUCCAUUGCUCA
Passer domesticus (house sparrow) is the source of this 427-nucleotide long non-coding RNA. RefSeq lists it as uncharacterized. NCBI's taxonomy places the organism in Eukaryota, Metazoa, Chordata, Aves, Passeriformes, Passeridae. The transcript has 3 exons. The record is from RefSeq and is a predicted model, not a curated record.